This 707-nucleotide ribosomal RNA is filed under the name uncultured Bacteroidales bacterium. RNAcentral's name for it is "bacterial SSU rRNA". It matches the Rfam family "Bacterial small subunit ribosomal RNA", at positions 62 to 759 of the family's 1533-position model. The record is from RNAcentral. Lineage: Bacteria; Pseudomonadati; Bacteroidota; Bacteroidia; Bacteroidales.
UCGAGGGGCAUCGGGAUUGAAGCUUGCUUCAAUUGCCGGCGACCGGCGCACGGGUGCGUAACGCGUAUGUAACCUACCUAUAACAGGGGCAUAACACUGAGAAAUUGGUACUAAUUCCCCAUAAUAUUCGGAGAGGCAUCUCUCCGGGUUGAAAACUCCGGUGGUUAUAGAUGGACAUGCGUUGUAUUAGCUAGUUGGUGAGGUAACGGCUCACCAAGGCAACGAUACAUAGGGGGACUGAGAGGUUAACCCCCCACACUGGUACUGAGACACGGACCAGACUCCUACGGGAGGCAGCAGUGAGGAAUAUUGGUCAAUGGACGCAAGUCUGAACCAGCCAUGCCGCGUGCAGGAAGACGGCUCUAUGAGUUGUAAACUGCUUUUGUACGAGGGUAAACUCACCUACGUGUAGGUGACUGAAAGUAUCGUACGAAUAAGGAUCGGCUAACUCCGUGCCAGCAGCCGCGGUAAUACGGAGGAUUCAAGCGUUAUCCGGAUUUAUUGGGUUUAAAGGGUGCGUAGGCGGUUUGAUAAGUUAGAGGUGAAAUCCCGGGGCUUAACUCCGGAACUGCCUCUAAUACUGUUAGACUAGAGAGUAGUUGCGGUAGGCGGAAUGUAUGGUGUAGCGGUGAAAUGCUUAGAGAUCAUACAGAACACCGAUUGCGAAGGCAGCUUACCAAACUAUAUCUGGCGUUGAGGCACGAAAG